UACGUAGGGUGCGAGCGUUAAUCGGAAUUACUGGGCGUAAAGCGUGCGCAGGCGGUAAGUUAAGUCAGAUGUGAAAGCCCCGGGCUUAACCUGGGAACUGCGUUUGAAACUGGGAGACUUGAGUGUGGCAGAGGGGGGUGGAAUUCCACGUGUAGCAGUGAAAUGCGUAGAUAUGUGGAGGAACACCGAUGGCGAAGGCAGUCCCCUGGGUUAACACUGACGCUCAUGCACGAAAGCGUGGGGAGCAAACAGG
This 253-nucleotide ribosomal RNA is filed under the name uncultured bacterium. RNAcentral describes it as "partial 16S ribosomal RNA". It matches the Rfam family "Bacterial small subunit ribosomal RNA", at positions 524 to 776 of the family's 1533-position model. The record is from RNAcentral.